This 497-nucleotide ribosomal RNA is filed under the name uncultured bacterium. RNAcentral describes it as "partial 16S ribosomal RNA". It matches the Rfam family "Bacterial small subunit ribosomal RNA", at positions 28 to 507 of the family's 1533-position model. The record is from RNAcentral.
GAUGAACGCUGGCGGCGUGCCUAAUACAUGCAAGUCGAGCGAACGGACGAGAAGCUUGCUGCUCUGAUGUUAGCGGCGGACGGGUGAGUAACACGUGGAUAACCUACCUAUAAGACUGGGAUAACUUCGGGAAACCGGAGCUAAUACCGGAUAAUAUUUUGAACCGCAUGGUUCAAAAGUGAAAGACGGUCUUGCUGUCACUUAUAGAUGGAUCCGCGCUGCAUUAGCUAGUUGGUAAGGUAACGGCUUACCAAGGCAACGAUGCAUAGCCGACCUGAGAGGGUGAUCGGCCACACUGGAACUGAGACACGGUCCAGACUCCUACGGGAGGCAGCAGUAGGGAAUCUUCCGCAAUGGGCGAAAGCCUGACGGAGCAACGCCGCGUGAGUGAUGACAGUCUUCGGAGCGUGAAACUCUGUUAUUAGGGAAGAACAUAUGUGUAAGUAACUGUGCACAUCUUGACGGUAACUAAUCAGAAAGCCACGGCUAACUACGUG